RNAcentral lists this ribosomal RNA (485 nucleotides) under uncultured bacterium. RNAcentral describes it as "bacterial SSU rRNA". It matches the Rfam family "Bacterial small subunit ribosomal RNA", at positions 30 to 533 of the family's 1533-position model. The record is from RNAcentral.
AUUAAACGCUGGCGGCAUGCCUUACACAUGCAAGUCGAACGGCAGCACGGGGGCAACCCUGGUGGCGAGUGGCGAACGGGUGAGUAAAGCAUCGGAACGUGCCCUGGAGUGGGGGAUAACGUAGCGAAAGUUACGCUAAUACCGCAUAUUCUGUGAGCAGGAAAGCAGGGGAUCGCAAGACCUUGCGCUCUGGGAGCGGCCGAUGUCGGAUUAGCUAGUUGGUGGGGUAAAGGCCUACCAAGGCGACGAUCCGUAGCGGGUCUGAGAGGAUGAUCCGCCACACUGGGACUGAGACACGGCCCAGACUCCUACGGGAGGCAGCAGUGGGGAAUAUUGGACAAUGGGCGAAAGCCUGAUCCAGCAAUGCCGCGUGAGUGAUGAAGGCCUUAGGGUUGUAAAGCUCUUUUACCAGGGAUGAUAAUGACAGUACCUGGAGAAUAAGCUCCGGCUAACUCCGUGCCAGCAGCCGCGGUAAUGUACAGUGU